UCUAAGCUAUUAUCUAUUUAUAGAUACACAUCUACAUGCACAUACAUAAUUAUGGACAGUUCUUUCUUUAAUGUUUCUGUUGCUUCAACCAGACUGCAUUACCAGCAUGCGUCAUUAGUGGGCAAAUACAUAGUGAUGAAGCGUUUCCUUUCCCAUGUGCAGUGUUUUUCAUGUUGCAGAAAAUUGAAAUAAAACCAGAGCAUCAGCCUUGUAAAUGGAAGCGCUCCCCGUGAGCGGGGGCGGACUUUCCCACUGCGGAUGCUCAGUGUCUGGAAUCCCUAACCCUACGCCGCCAAGCAAGCUCAAGUUGAGAGCCCCCCGCCGACCAAGAGAGAGCCUGACAAAGGAAUAGCGACCGUUAAUCGCUGUUCCGUGUCCACUCCGACCUCCCAGUUCGCUUCAUGAUUCCUCCUCCGGCCACCUGCCGCCAAGCACUCGGACCAGAUCACUCUGGCAACUGGUGAAUGCCCUCUGCUCAGAUAAGAGGACUGUGUUUCCCCUGCGCUCUCUCUACGGGGCUGCUUCACAAACAGCGGGCGGCUGGGAAUGGGCCUGCUUGCAGCGCUGAGCUGGCCGGAUCCGCUGGGCCCCCCUCGCCCCUACAGCCACAGGGCUCAGGAAUAGGGCGCUAAGGCCUUGGCGUUGCUCACACUGAAGACGCGGCCCCGGGACGAGCUGGGGAACAGAUCGUGCUACCUGUCUGAGUCACAGUGAGGACGGGGCCGCUUCCGUUUAAUAACUUACAUUCCCCCAGGCCUGCGACAAUGUCCCAGAGAUGGUGGGGCUUUUCUCCCUCGGGCCCAGGAACUAUCUUCACUCCGGCUGUCUGGGCAGGCACGUCCACCUACAAGAGAACGACGGAACACUGAGCCAUAGAGAAGAGCUUUCCUAGCGGCUUCCUCCACCAUCUUGUCUUUCUCUUCCUGUAAGAUGGCUUCCCCGUGGCACCACCCCAUACUCCGAGGGUUCCGCUGCAGCGUGAGCCCGUGCUCAACAAAGAAACAUUGGGAUUUGGA
This is a long non-coding RNA of Felis catus (domestic cat), 1016 nucleotides long. RefSeq lists it as uncharacterized. The transcript has 2 exons. The record is from RefSeq and is a predicted model, not a curated record. Lineage: Eukaryota; Metazoa; Chordata; Mammalia; Carnivora; Felidae.